CUGGCGGCAGGCUUAACACAUGCAAGUCGAACGGGCGUAGCAAUACGUCAGUGGCAGACGGGUGAGUAACACGUGGGAACCUUCCUAGGGGUACGGAACAACUCAGGGAAACUUGAGCUAAUACCGUAUACGUCCGUGAGGAGAAAGAUUUAUCGCCCUUAGACGGGCCCGCGUCGGAUUAGCUAGUUGUGGGGUAACGGCCUACCAAGGCGACGAUCCGUAGCUGAUCUGAGAGGAUGAUCAGCCACACUGGGACUGAGACACGGCCCAGACUCCUACGGGAGGCAGCAGUGGGGAAUCUUGGACAAUGGGCGCAAGCCUGAUCCAGCCAUGCCGCGUGAGUGAAGAAGGCCUUCGGGUUGUAAAGCUCUUUUGUCAGGGACGAUAAUGACGGUACCUGAAGAAUAAGCCCCGGCAAACUUCGUG
RNAcentral lists this ribosomal RNA (426 nucleotides) under uncultured bacterium. RNAcentral's name for it is "bacterial SSU rRNA". It matches the Rfam family "Bacterial small subunit ribosomal RNA", at positions 36 to 507 of the family's 1533-position model. The record is from RNAcentral.